UAGCUUAUGAGUGUGAAGGGGACAGAUA
This 28-nucleotide small RNA is filed under the name Bombyx mori (domestic silkworm). Its description in RNAcentral is "ovarian small RNA-22572". The record is from RNAcentral. Lineage: Eukaryota; Metazoa; Arthropoda; Insecta; Lepidoptera; Bombycidae.